UAACAUUAUAAAAAUACAAAGUAUGAAACAAAUAAUCUGUUUAUACAGAUAUUUUAAGCUGUUUUCACCAGUUCUGACAUCCCCUGUAUUUAGUAACAGAAACUUACUCAAUUCAGAUUACUCGCGCUUAAAAAAUGUUAAAUACAGUUAAUGCAAUAUUAAUCGCCCUUUGGUGAUAUAAAAUGCAAUAUUUUCAGGCAGCUAUCGAGCUUUUCUAGAGGAAGAGCUGAUGAAAACAGUCACAGCUGAAUAGUGGAGAGAAAAAAGCUCUGUAUUUAUUGCUUUUGUUUGGCUUUUGGCUACAGAGACAGGAACAUUCUAAUGGGGGCACUUGAUGACCUCGUGAACCACUCUUUAGACUUCCAGUGCUUCUGGCUUUAAUAUUCUGUGCUAGAUUCACGGAGCUCUUCUACAGAUGCUAAGCAUUCAAUCCUGAAGGCUCCACUUCAUCAUCAGGUUUUCAUCAGUCAUCAGAUGAUGAUGAUGAUGAUGCACAGAUGGUCCGCAUCAGAAGAAAUGAGAAGAUGGCUAGAGCACUAGUGGCAGCAGCUUCAUUCCAAAUUGGACCAGCUAGAGCAUAAAGAAUUUUUGAAGUCUGAUUCUACUUGUUGGUUGCACUGAUGCUGAAGAAAUGUCUUGUGCAACCUAUGAUUUUUUAGGACAUUGUCUCUUGAAGGUGCAGGGACGACUGAAGAAGCUGAAUGACCCUUGAACUUGGUGGCUCUUUACAUGUGGCAUUACCAAAGAACUCCAGCCCUAAGUGCCCAUUUUGAAACUGGCUCCCGCUUGCUGUAUCUUCCUGGCUUCCAGCUGCUUGUAUCUUUGUGACUUUAAAGUGCUUGUGAAAGGAGCUGGUGUGAUAGCAAUGGAGACUGAAAUCCCAUGUUUAUCCACAGAAUUGAUAACGACGUGGGCAAUGAAAGCUACCCCACCAAAGUGUCUCAAACACAACCUAAAGGGGCUGUCUCUAAAGUGACAUCUUUACUUCUGAGAGGAAAUAUGUGUAAAGAAGAAAAAUGUACAUCAAAAAAAGAAAUGACAUUUUCUGGCUCAUCCCAAAGUGUGUUGAACACUAAAGAGCGCAAAUUUCUUU
Molecule: non-coding RNA, 1093 nt
Organism: Caretta caretta (loggerhead turtle)
Lineage: Eukaryota; Metazoa; Chordata; Testudines; Cheloniidae
Source: RefSeq, a predicted model, not a curated record